GGAGUGAAAUAGAUCCUGAAACCGCAUGCAUACAAGCAGUGGGAGCCGACUUGUUCGGUGACUGCGUACCUUUUGUAUAAUGGGUCAGCGACUUAUUUUCAGUGGCGAGCUUAACCGAAUAGGGGAGGCGUAGCGAAAGCGAGUCUUAAUAGGGCGUCUAGUCGCUGGGAAUAGACCCGAAACCGGGCGAUCUAUCCAUGGGCAGGUUGAAGGUUGGGUAACACUAACUGGAGGACCGAACCGAC
RNAcentral lists this ribosomal RNA (245 nucleotides) under Tetraselmis astigmatica. RNAcentral's name for it is "partial Bacterial large subunit ribosomal RNA". It matches the Rfam family "Bacterial large subunit ribosomal RNA", at positions 535 to 783 of the family's 2925-position model. The record is from RNAcentral. Lineage: Eukaryota; Viridiplantae; Chlorophyta; Chlorodendrophyceae; Chlorodendrales; Chlorodendraceae.